This 407-nucleotide ribosomal RNA is filed under the name uncultured bacterium. RNAcentral describes it as "partial 16S ribosomal RNA". It matches the Rfam family "Bacterial small subunit ribosomal RNA", at positions 30 to 526 of the family's 1533-position model. The record is from RNAcentral.
AUUGAACGCUGGCGGCAGGCCUAACAAAUGCAAGUCGAGCGGAGCGGCGGACGGGUGAGUAUUACCUAGGAAUCUGCCUGGUAGUGGGGGAUAACGUCCGGCAAUGGGCGCUAAUACCGCCUACUAUCCCUUGAACCCAUAUGGGAUGAGCUUGUAGGUGAGGUAACGGCUCACCUAGGCGACGUUCCCUCGCUGGUCUGCAGGGAUUAUCAGCCACACUGGGACUGAGACACGGUCCAGACUCCUACGGGAGGCAGCAGUGGGGAAUAUUGGACAAUGGGCAAAAGCCUGAUCCAGCCAUGCCGCGUGUGUGAAGAAGGUCUUCGGAUUGUAAAGCACUUUAAGUUGGGAGGCGUUACCAACAGAAUAAGCACCGGCUAACUUCGUGCCAGCAGCCGCGGUAAUUC